UAGAUCAGUGAUGACUACUGGUGGCGUAUGAGUCAUAUACGAUGAAUACGUGUCUGGAACUCUGAGGUCCAG
This is a small nucleolar RNA of Gorilla gorilla gorilla (western lowland gorilla), 72 nucleotides long. Ensembl annotates it as small nucleolar RNA, C/D box 114-18. Its record names the gene SNORD114-18. The record is from Ensembl. NCBI's taxonomy places the organism in Eukaryota, Metazoa, Chordata, Mammalia, Primates, Hominidae.